Molecule: ribosomal RNA, 399 nt
Filed under: uncultured bacterium
Lineage: Bacteria
Description: bacterial SSU rRNA
Rfam family: Bacterial small subunit ribosomal RNA
Source: RNAcentral
UAUUGGUCAAUGGACGCAAGUCUGAACCAGCCAUGCCGCGUGAAGGAUGAAGGUCCUCUGGAUUGUAAACUUCUUUUAUAUGGGAAGAAAUCCUCGAAAUCUUUCGGGGUUGACGGUACCAUAGGAAUAAGCACCGGCUAACUCCGUGCCAGCAGCCGCGGUAAUACGGAGGGUGCAAGCGUUAUCCGGAUUCACUGGGUUUAAAGGGUGCGUAGGAGGGCAGGUAAGUCAGUGGUGAAAUCUCCAAGCUUAACUUGGAAACUGCCGUUGAUACUAUCUGUCUUGAAUACCGUGGAGAUGAGCGGAAUAUGUCAUGUAGCGGUGAAAUGCUUAGAUAUGACAUAGAACACCAAUUGCGAAGGCAGCUCGUUACACGAAUAUUGACUCUGAGGCACGAAA